RNAcentral lists this ribosomal RNA (473 nucleotides) under Escherichia coli. RNAcentral's name for it is "bacterial SSU rRNA". It matches the Rfam family "Bacterial small subunit ribosomal RNA", at positions 1 to 470 of the family's 1533-position model. Lineage: Bacteria; Pseudomonadati; Pseudomonadota; Gammaproteobacteria; Enterobacterales; Enterobacteriaceae. The record is from RNAcentral.
AAAUUGAAGAGUUUGAUCAUGGCUCAGAUUGAACGCUGGCGGCAGGCCUAACACAUGCAAGUCGAACGGUAACAGGAAGCAGCUUGCUGCUUUGCUGACGAGUGGCGGACGGGUGAGUAAUGUCUGGGAAACUGCCUGAUGGAGGGGGAUAACUACUGGAAACGGUAGCUAAUACCGCAUAACGUCGCAAGACCAAAGAGGGGGACCUUCGGGCCUCUUGCCAUCGGAUGUGCCCAGAUGGGAUUGGCUUGUUGGUGGGGUAACGGCUCACCAAGGCGACGAUCCCUAGCUGGUCUGAGAGGAUGACCAGCCACACUGGAACUGAGACACGGUCCAGACUCCUACGGGAGGCAGCAGUGGGGAAUAUUGCACAAUGGGCGCAAGCCUGAUGCAGCCAUGCCGCGUGUAUGAAGAAGGCCUUCGGGUUGUAAAGUACUUUCAGCGGGGAGGAAGGGAGUAAAGUUAAUACCUUU